GACGAACGCUGGCGGCGUGCUUAACACAUGCAUUUCGAACGGAAAGGCCCUGCUUUUGUGGGGUGCUCGAGUGGCGAACGGGUGAGUAACACGUGAGUAACCUGCCCUUGACUUUGGGAUAACUUCAGGAAACUGGGGCUAAUACCGGAUAGGAGCUCCUGCUGCAUGGUGGGGGUUGGAAAGUUUCGGCGGUUGGGGAUGGACUCGCGGCUUAUCAGCUUGUUGGUGGGGUAGUGGCUUACCAAGGCUUUGACGGGUAGCCGGCCUGAGAGGGUGACCGGCCACAUUGGGACUGAGAUACGGCCCAGACUCCUACGGGAGGCAGCAGUGGGGAAUAUUGCACAAUGGGCGGAAGCCUGAUGCAGCAACGCCGCGUGCGGGAUGACGGCCUUCGGGUUGUAAACCGCUUUCGCCUGUGACGAAGCGUGAGUGACGGUAAUGGGUAAAGAAGCACCGGCUAACUACGUGCCAGCAGCCGCGGUGAUACGUAGGGUGCGAGCGUUGUCCGGAUUUAUUGGGCGUAAAGGGCUCGUAGGUGGUUGAUCGCGUCGGAAGUGUAAUCUUGGGGCUUAACCCUGAGCGUGCUUUCGAUACGGGUUGACUUGAGGAAGGUAGGGGAGAAUGGAAUUCCUGGUGGAGCGGUGGAAUGCGCAGAUAUCAGGAGGAACACCAGUGGCGAAGGCGGUUCUCUGGGCCUUUCCUGACGCUGAGGAGCGAAAGCGUGGGGAGCGAACAGGCUUAGAUACCCUGGUAGUCCACGCUGUAAACGGUGGGUACUAGGUGUGGGGUCCAUUCCACGGGUUCCGUGCCGUAGCUAACGCUUUAAGUACCCCGCCUGGGGAGUACGGCCGCAAGGCUAAAACCCAAAGGAAUUGACGGGGCCCCGCACAAGCGGCGGAGCAUGCGGAUUAAUUCGAUGCAACGCGUAGAACCUUACCUGGGUUUGACAUGGAUCGGGAGUGCUCAGAGAUGGGUGUGCCUCUUUUGGGGUCGGUUCACAGGUGGUGCAUGCCUGUCGUCAGCUCGUGUCGUGAGAUGUUGGGUUAAGUCCCGCAACGAGCGCAACCCUUGUUCACUGUUGCCAGCACGUUAUGGUGGGGACUCAGUGGAGACCGCCGGGGUCAACUCGGAGGAAGGUGGGGAUGACGUCAAGUCAUCAUGCCCCUUAUGUCCAGGGCUUCACGCAUGCUACAAUGGCUGGUACAGAGAGUGGCGAGCCUGUGAGGGUGAGCGAAUCUCGGAAAGCCGGUCUCAGUUCGGAUUGGGGUCUGCAACUCGACCUCAUGAAGUCGGAGUCGCUAGUAAUCGCAGAUCAGCAACGCUGCGGUGAAUACGUUCCCGGGGCU
Molecule: ribosomal RNA, 1346 nt
Filed under: uncultured bacterium
Lineage: Bacteria
Description: partial 16S ribosomal RNA
Rfam family: Bacterial small subunit ribosomal RNA
Source: RNAcentral